This 495-nucleotide ribosomal RNA is filed under the name uncultured bacterium. RNAcentral's name for it is "partial 16S ribosomal RNA". It matches the Rfam family "Bacterial small subunit ribosomal RNA", at positions 28 to 507 of the family's 1533-position model. The record is from RNAcentral.
GACGAACGCUGGCGGCGUGCCUAAUACAUGCAAGUAGAACGCUGAAGGAGGAGCUUGCUUCUCCGGAUGAGUUGCGAACGGGUGAGUAACGCGUAGGUAACCUGCCUGGUAGCGGGGGAUAACUAUUGGAAACGAUAGCUAAUACCGCAUAACAGUAGAUGUUGCAUGACAUUUGCUUAAAAGGUGCACUUGCCUCACUACCAGAUGGCCCUGCGUUGUAUUAGCUAGUUGGUGAGGUAACGGCUCACCAAGGCGACGAUACAUAGCCGACCUGAGAGGGUGGUCGGCCACACUGGGACUGAGACACGGCCCAGACUCCUACGGGAGGCAGCAGUAGGGAAUCUUCGGCAAUGGACGGAAGUCUGACCGAGCAACGCCGCGGGAGUGAAGAAGGGUUUCGGAUCGUAAAGCUCUGUUGUAAGAGAAGAACGAGUGUGAGGGUGGAAAGUUCACACUGUGACGGUAGCUUACCAGAAAGGGACGGCUAACUACGUG